UUGCUUUGGCAGCAUGUAUAUUAGAAUUGGAAUGAUACAGAGAAGACUGGUGUGACAUUGCGCAAAGAUGACAUGCAAAUUCAUGAAGCAUUUCAUAUUAAC
Piliocolobus tephrosceles (Ugandan red Colobus) is the source of this 102-nucleotide small nuclear RNA. NCBI's taxonomy places the organism in Eukaryota, Metazoa, Chordata, Mammalia, Primates, Cercopithecidae. The record is from Ensembl.